This 323-nucleotide ribosomal RNA is filed under the name Pseudopedinella elastica. RNAcentral describes it as "partial Bacterial large subunit ribosomal RNA". It matches the Rfam family "Bacterial large subunit ribosomal RNA", at positions 3 to 369 of the family's 2925-position model. The record is from RNAcentral. Lineage: Eukaryota; Dictyochophyceae; Pedinellales.
UCAAGCGAAUAAGUGCACAUGGUGGAUGCCUUGGCAGUCAUAGGCGAUGAAGGACGUGGUAGCCUGCGAAAAGCUACGGGGAGCUGGCAAACAAGCUUUGAGCCGUAGAUGUCCGAAUGGGGAAACCCACCCUUUUAGGGGUAUCGCACAGUGAAUACAUAGCUGUGCGAGGCGAACCUGGAGAACUGAAACAUCUAAGUACCCAGAGGAAAAGAAAUCAACCGAGAUUCCGAGAGUAGUGGCGAGCGAAAUUGGAACAGCCUGUACGAUUUAGCAUUUGAGUUAACAAAACGGUCUUGAAAGUCCGGCCAUAGAAGGUGAUA